GGAGGAUCCGAGCGUUAUCCGGAUUUAUUGGGUUUAAAGGGAGCGUAGAUGGAUGUUUAAGUCAGUUGUAAAAGUUUGCGGCUCAACCGUAAAAUUGCAGUUGAUACUGGGUGUCUUGAGUACAGUAGAGGCAGGCGGAAUUCGUGGUGUAGCGGUGAAAUGCUUAGAUAUCACGAAGAACUCCGAUUGCGAAGGCAGCUCACUGGAGCGCAACUGACGCUGAAGCUCGAAAGUGCGGGUAUCGAACAGGAUUAGAUACCCUGGUAGUCCGCACGGUAAACGAUGGAUGCCCGCUGUUGGUCUGAAUAGGUCAGCGGCCAAGCGAAAGCGUUAAGUAUUCCACCUGGGGAGUACGCCGGCAACGGUGAAACUCAAAGGAAUUGACGGCAGCAG
This 393-nucleotide ribosomal RNA is filed under the name uncultured bacterium. RNAcentral describes it as "bacterial SSU rRNA". It matches the Rfam family "Bacterial small subunit ribosomal RNA", at positions 527 to 922 of the family's 1533-position model. The record is from RNAcentral.